RNAcentral lists this ribosomal RNA (524 nucleotides) under uncultured bacterium. RNAcentral's name for it is "partial 16S ribosomal RNA". It matches the Rfam family "Bacterial small subunit ribosomal RNA", at positions 28 to 523 of the family's 1533-position model. The record is from RNAcentral.
GACGAACGCUGGCGGCGUGCCUAAUACAUGCAAGUCGAACGAAGCUGUUUUAACUGGUGCUUGCACCGACUUAAACAACUGAGUGGCGAACGGGUGAGUAACACGUGGGUAACCUGCCCCAAAGCGGGGGAUAACACUUGGAAACAGAUGCUAAUACCGCAUAACCACAGAAACCACAUGGUUUCUGUGUCAAAGAUGGUUUCGGCUAUCACUUUGGGAUGGACCCGCGGCGUAUUAGCUAGUUGGUAAGGUAAAGGCUUACCAAGGCAAUGAUACGUAGCCGAACUGAGAGGUUGAUCGGCCACAUUGGGACUGAGACACGGCCCAAACUCCUACAGGAGGCAGCAGUAGGGAAUCUUCCACAAUGGACGAAAGUCUGAUGGAGCAACGCCGCGUGAGUGAAGAAGGUUUUCGGAUCGUAAAACUCUGUUGUCAGAGAAGAACGUGUGCGAGAGUAACUGCUCGUGCAGUGACGGUAUCUGGCCAGAAAGCCACGGCUAACUACGUGCCAGCCGCCGCUGUAA